AAAAAGCCUAAAAAAUUUGCACCCAUUUGGUAAAAAUUCCUCCUUCUUCCCCCACACGAGGAGAAUGGGGGCAGGGAAAGGGGCUGUUUGGUUCUCCAACGCGGUGGCGUUAGUAGCAAUCGCGGUGGUAGCUUGCCAUUCCCAACCUUCGGCGACGUUCAAGUGCAGCAGCGCGAACAAACCCACGUGUCGUCCCCUGAUUAGCUACUCUAACCCGAACACCACCACCCUCGGCGACAUUCAAAAGCUCUUCAACGUAAAACACAUCAUGGACAUCGUGGGAGCGAACAACGCCACAAAAAAAAUAUACGGUGGGCCCCAACGAGGUUGUGAAGGUUCCUUUCCCGUGCAGGUGCAGCAACAACACGGGAUAUCGUCACGACGACGUUUGCGGGUCUGAUGAAGUGGCCGCAGAUCCAGAUGGCGAAUAACAUUUGAAUAAUUCUCUCGAUAAAGAAAUAUUUGGUACAAUCCAAUCCGAGCAGCGUGGACCUUUGUCUAAUAGCCAAGUGAGAUAGAUGAUAGCUAUGUAUCAUGUAUGAAUAUGUUGGAGUGAUUGAAUUUGUUCCUCGAAUGUGAAAAAAUGGUUCAUUGGACUAUCCCUUGCUUGUCCCAAAUGCUACUUACGAAUGCGUCAAAUGCAAAUUACAAUGUGAGCCAUCCCAACUCAAAUCAACCAACUGGUCUUCUUGGCCCUCUCUGGAGUGCUCAAGCAACGUCAUUCCCUCCACAGAUUCCUGCAAUCGCACAACCUGCGCCUAUACCGGUUAUUAUACCUUCCGCAAUAUCUCAGCAGAAGUUGUAACAGAGAACACCACUUGUGCUGUGCCACCGAGUGGUUCAGGAGGAUCAACUGGUUCUGAUUCAGGAGCGUCGAGGAGCACCUUCCAAGGCUUGCUUUUGAGUAAUCUUUUGAUUGUCAUUCACUUUGUCCUCUUUCUUGUCUAUGUUUUGUAGUAAAAAAAAAUACCCUACACUUCUGCAGCCAUUGUUUUUAAUAGAUUAGUCCACUCUGUAAUUUGCUGAGUUCAGAUAGAUUGUUUUGUGUAUUGAGUGUUGCAACAGCUGAACCUUUUAUGUUUUUCCUUUGCAAUCUUUGUAUCUUCAAUAAAUAAAUAUGUUCCGAAGAAUAAAAGUGAUAUCUAAACUAUUUUAAUGUGAUUAAAAUAGUUCAGAUAUGUUUUUCCUGUUA
This is an RNA transcript of Glycine soja, 1192 nucleotides long. RefSeq lists it as uncharacterized. The record is from RefSeq and is a predicted model, not a curated record. Lineage: Eukaryota; Viridiplantae; Streptophyta; Magnoliopsida; Fabales; Fabaceae. The transcript has 3 exons.